RNAcentral lists this ribosomal RNA (410 nucleotides) under uncultured bacterium. RNAcentral's name for it is "bacterial SSU rRNA". It matches the Rfam family "Bacterial small subunit ribosomal RNA", at positions 355 to 775 of the family's 1533-position model. The record is from RNAcentral.
UCGAGGAUCUUCGGCAAUGGGCGCAAGCCUGACCGAGCGACGCCGCGUGGACGAUGAAGGCCUUCGGGUUGUAAAGUCCUGUCGAGGGGGAUGAAAGCGCAAGCUUGACAUAUCCCUGGAGGAAGCACGGGCUAAGUUCGUGCCAGCAGCCGCGGUAAGACGAACCGUGCAAACGUUGUUCGGAAUCACUGGGCUUAAAGGGCGCGUAGGCGGCUAAUCAAGUCCGGGGUGAAAUCCUGCAGCUUAACUGUAGAAGUGCCUUGGAUACUGGUUAGCUCGAGGGAGGUAGGGGUCUGUGGAACUUCUGGUGGAGCGGUGAAAUGCGUUGAUAUCAGAAGGAACGCCGGUGGCGAAAGCGACGGACUGGAUCUCUUCUGACGCUGAGGCGCGAAAGCUAGGGGAGCAAACGG